GAGUUUGAUCCUGGCUCAGGACGAACGCUGGCGGCGUGCCUAAUACAUGCAAGUCGAGCGAAUCUUUUGGGACUUGUCCCUUGAGAUUAGCGGCGGACGGGUGAGUAACACGUGGGUAACCUGCCUGUAAGACUGGGAUAACUUCGGGAAACCGGAGCUAAUACCGGAUAGUUUCUUUUCUCGCAUGAGGGAAGAUGGAAAGAUGGUUCUGCUAUCACUUACAGAUGGACCCGCGGCGCAUUAGCUAGUUGGUGAGGUAACGGCUCACCAAGGCCACGAUGCGUAGCCGACCUGAGAGGGUGAUCGGCCACACUGGGACUGAGACACGGCCCAGACUCCUACGGGAGGCAGCAGUAGGGAAUCUUCCGCAAUGGACGAAAGUCUGACGGAGCAACGCCGCGUGAGUGAUGAAGGUUUUCGGAUCGUAAAACUCUGUUGCCAGGGAAGAACGCCAGGGAGAGGCAAUGCUCUCUGGGUGACGGUACCUGAGAAGAAAGCCCCGGCUAACUACGUGCCAGCAGCCGCGGUAAUACG
RNAcentral lists this ribosomal RNA (534 nucleotides) under uncultured soil bacterium. Its description in RNAcentral is "bacterial SSU rRNA". It matches the Rfam family "Bacterial small subunit ribosomal RNA", at positions 9 to 527 of the family's 1533-position model. The record is from RNAcentral.